Molecule: long non-coding RNA, 2368 nt
Organism: Brassica rapa (field mustard)
Lineage: Eukaryota; Viridiplantae; Streptophyta; Magnoliopsida; Brassicales; Brassicaceae
Source: RefSeq, a predicted model, not a curated record
AUUAACAAGGUCUCCUUUUGGAGUCUCCGCCGUCCCAAGAAAAGUUCUCCACUCCACACACACGAUAUCGUUGAAUGCAAUCCCUUUACUUCCUUUCCCAGAAUUUUGACUAUAAAAACUUUGUUGAUCUCUCUGAGUUAUGUCUCCAAACUGAAAAGUACUGUGAGUGAAAAGAAGUGAAUUCAUUCUUGGGUUUUGCAGAUCUUCGUGCUACCACAUCCUUUGAUCAAACACUGGAUCUUUGUCCUGAGAAAUGACCAAACUCAUUCUCCUAUUUUCAAAUGUCAGAUCCUUGCACAUGUGAAACAAGUCGUGAAAGUUGACUUUGGGAGGAACAUCAGCGGGUUGUUUAGGCACACGCUAUAACCGUUGGGAAGCGUACCAGAACCAGCUGGGGUUGUGUCCGUCAGCUCAGCCGUAGUCUUAGUCCUAACAUGAUUGUCUAGAGGCCCGAGUAGCUUAACUUAAGUGAUGUUAAAAAAAGUGAAGCUGAUUAUCAGCCGUUGUCAUCUCAGCUAAGCAUUUGUUCAGGGGCAAGCGUUACAAAGGUCAACAAUGGCACACAAUUGAACCUUCUGGUCAUGGUGAAUGCACAAAUCCAUCUCUCCGAAAUGAAGCCAGGGCGUAGCAAGCAGGUUGUGUUCACACGUCUGCUUUGGUUUUGGGGGUCUAGAAUGUUAAGAAAGGAGGAAAGCUAAUUGGGUUGACAUGGUGUAUGUUGCAGAAAAGGUUAGUAACAGAUCUUUUGUUUCUUAUGUAUCUAUAAAUGUAAAAGUGGUGUUUGUCUUAAACAAAAGAAUUGUAUUUGUAAUAAAUGUUUUGGAUAUCCGAUUGGGGUAAGAAUUUUUGAGACUCUGAUCUGAUGGCUUAAAAUUGAUCUGGGCGAAGAGCAGGAUUCUGCUUACUUAAGAUCCAAAUUAAUAAAUCAAAACAUAGUAUUUUGUUGCAAGUGUUAAAGCAAUUUUCAGUCCACUGUAUGCUACCUUAACUUCAUUGUUUAUAAGCAGUAGUCAUACAAGAACCUUCAAGUUAUUCAUAAACGCGAAAAAACAAAACAUCAUCAUCAAGCAAAAGAAUAUCAAUUUAUGAGACAUACUAAUCAGUUUUUAUCUCAGGGAGUUGAAGAGUUUCACUUUGUCUAAAUUUCUCAAGAGUAAAAAUCUUUCUGUCAGAGAGUCAUGAAAAGCCUUUGCAUGUAGAAACAAGGAUCGUAUCUACAGCCAGUAGUCAUGUCGGUAUUCUAAUGUAUAUUGUUAAAGCUACAGAGAAACAAUGAUCACGUUCAUGCCUCACAACUCAACCAAUAUUCAAAUUUAUUAAAAAGUUCACAUUUUUUUCAUGUUAAUACUUCCGCAUCCCAAGAUUCUAAGAAAAAAAAAAGAAUUCUAAAGCAGUUUCUAAUAAUGCAAACACAAUGCUACCAGUAGUUAAAUUUUGUUCAAUGUGUGGAAUAUUAAACUAAACCAUGUUCAUUGUUCAAUACCAAAUCUAAUAAGUAGUUAAAUGACAGCUGAAACAUUUUAGAAACUACAAAAUAGUUAUGAAAAUAAAUAAAUUUAAUAGAAACACUACUUAUGAAAGUUGAUGUUAAUUUCAAUUUAGACAAAAAUAAAACAAAAAGUAUUUUUAUUAAAUAAAAACUAUAAUAAAAAUAAUAAUUAAAAUAAUAAAUGUCACAUAUAUAUUUUAUAAUAAAUAAAAUAAAUUAUAUAUCAGAAAUAUAAAUAGAUAUCAAACAUUAAACUAAAUAAUAUAAUAUCCCGCGAAAGAAAUCUGAGCUGAGUUUAUACUAUAGGCACAAAAACUCUGGGAAGCAAAAACACGAGAGCUCAAAAUAAACUUAUAUUUAAAUUUCUUAAUAUGUUGUAAUCAAUCAAAAUUAAACUACAACCAAGAUUUUUAAAAAAUAUACAAAAAAUAUAUGAAAUAUUAAAUUUAAAUUUAAAUCUAUGUAGUAAAGCGUAUGUUAGAAUAUCUUAUAAAACUUUUAGGCCUUCAUCACCAUUUGCAACUAUAUAUAGAAAAACAAUGCCAAACUUCAAUACAUUUUGUUAUGUAUAUAAACUGCAUAAAAAUGUCAAAGAAAGUAUAUAGAAAAUGACUUUGAAACAAUCAAAAUAUGAAUUAAUAAUUUAGAAUGGUUUGGUUUGUACCAAGUUUUUUUUUUGUGUAAAAAAUCCUAUAGAUUGCUUCCGUGUGCGAUAGGGUUACGUGGAUUUUGGUUUGGACUACAGUCUAAGAGAAAUCAAAAGUAUAUUCAAAAACAAAAGUAUAAAAGUUAGAAAAAUAUAAGCCAAAGUAACCAAAAGAAUUUCACACAAAAGAAACAAAGAAAGGUCAAAAAAGAGCAACUGCUAAUAAUGUCAAU